Non-coding RNA from Malus domestica (apple), 3924 nucleotides. The record is from RefSeq and is a predicted model, not a curated record. Lineage: Eukaryota; Viridiplantae; Streptophyta; Magnoliopsida; Rosales; Rosaceae.
CUCUCACUCUCCCCACUGAAACCGAAUUUACACAGUAAGAGAACCCUUUUCCUAACCUUUUCCUAAUUUUCAUGUGCUGAUUAGCUUUGUCUCGGGGCCUAUAUUCUCUCUGCCUCAACUGCGAUCUCAGCCACUUCUUCGUCAGCUCUCAGUUCUCAGCUCAUCUCCCAACAAUUCACCAACCUGCCGGCAAGUUUCUCUCUCUUUACUCUCUCGCUCUCCUCUUUAUUUCCACAAAAAAAGAUUGGGUCUUUCAGUUCUUUCAGCUCAAGUUUCUUUCCAUGGAGUUGAAAGCAUUGACUAGGAUGUAAUUGUGGGCUUGCAAAUACGGUAUUUUGUACUGACUUGUUGAGAGAAAAACUGGGUAAUUGGUGGAUUUUGGGUUCUGGGCAGCUGUAGCCUGUAGUUUAGCUCCAUUUUUAUGCUGGUGUGCUGUUCUUGGUUUUCUGGGGUUCUUGGAAAGAACAAUUUCCAGAAAUUUCUGGGGCUGUGGUGUUAUUGACUUUUUGUUUUGGGGUGAAAUUUAUAGUUUUAUCUCUGAGCUGUAGUUGUUGUUAUUGUUCAAUUGGGUGUUUGUAUCUGGUGGAGUUUGACUAGGGGGCAUUGUAACAUCUCUGGGUUUUUUGUAUCUUGAUCUAUGGAGUCUGAAUUCGGAGGAAAGGCUUGUAAUUUUCGUGGUGUGAUGGUGCCGAAUUUGAAGGGGGUUGGGAAAAAGAGUUUGGAAUGGGAUUUGAAUGAUUUUAAAUGGGAUGGUGAUCUUUUUACUGCUAGUCCAUUAAAUUCUACACCAUCUGAUGGUAGGAGUAGGCAGUUGUUUCCGGCCAGGCCAGAAACUCCGUCGGAUGCUGGUUUGUCCAACAGUUCUUCUUCUGGUUCGGAUAAUAUCAGUCCGGGGAAUGAGAAAGAUCAAAGAGAAUUGGAGAAACGGAGAAGGGAUUUUUUUGUGGAAAACCGAGAGUUGAAUGAUGAAGCUGCGUCUCUGAAUCUUAAACUUGGCGGGCAAACUUACCCCAUUAUGGAAGAAGAAGUACAAACCGGGAAGAAAACAAAGACAAUUGGGACUACUUCAAACCGUGCAGUUUGUCAGGUGGAGGACUGUAAGGCUGAUCUUAGCAAUGCCAAGGAUUAUCACCGGAGGCAUAAGGUCUGUGCUAUGCAUUCUAAGGCAACUAAAGCGCUGGUUGGAAGUGUUAUGCAGCGGUUCUGUCAACAGUGUAGCAGGUUUCAUGCUCUUCAAGAGUUUGAUGAAGGGAAGAGAAGUUGCCGUAGGCGUUUGGCUGGCCAUAAUAGGAGGAGAAGAAAAACACAUCCUGAUACUGCAGUUAAUGGAGGCUCUUUAAACAAUGAAGGCGGAAGCGGUUAUCUAUUGAUUAGCUUGCUGAGAAUACUUUCAAAUAUGCACUCUAGUAGUUCUGAUCAAACAAAGGAUCAGGAUGUCAUAUCUCAUUUGUUGAGGAGCUUAGCCAAUGUUGCUGGUACGGCUGAUGGAAGAAACAUAUCUACAUUGCUGCAGGGAUCUCAAGGUUUAUUUAACAGUGGGACAUCUGUCCAGACUGCACGAAGGGUUCUAGAUAUGAAUGCUGGUGUUAAUACUGAGGACCCUUUAAGGUCUAAAGGACACUGUUCGAUACUACCUGCAUCAAGAGACAGUUCUGAAUCCAAAUCAGUUACACCGGAAGCUACAAGUAGAAGGUUCCAGUUAAAUGAUUGAUUUAAAUAGUACAUAUGAUGAUUCACAGGACUAUGUAGAGAACCUAGGGAAUUCUCAUGUUCCUGCAAGUCCAGGCACUGCAUCUCUUGGUUUUCCUUCAUGGAUGCAGCGUGAUUCUCAUAAAUCAAGCCCACCUCAGACAAGUGGGAAUUCAGACUUAACUUCUACUCAGUCACCGUCAAGUUCUAGUGGAGAAGCUCAGAGUCACACAGACCGAAUUAUUUUUAAACUAUUUGGAAAAGACCCUAAUGAACUUCCACUUGCUCUGCGAUCACAGAUCCUCGACUGGUUAUCUCACAGCCCUACCAACAUUGAAAGCUACAUAAGGCCGGGCUGUAUCAUUUUGACAAUUUACCUUCGUCUAGAAAAAUCCACGUGGGAGGAGUUCUGUUGUCAUCUGGGAUCCAGUUUGAAAACACUUCUUGAUGCUGCGGAUGAUCCUUUUUGGAGAACAGGAUGGGUGUAUACAAGGGUGCAAGAUUAUGUAGCAUUUACAUACAAUGGUGAAGUUGUGUUAGACACACCCUUGCCUCUUAAAAGCAAUAAAAGUUGCAGGAUAUCAUGCAUCAAACCAAUUGCGAUCUCCUUAUCUGAGAGAGCUGAAUUUAUAGUAAAAGGCUUUAACCUUUCUAGUUCCACCACAAGGUUACUCUGUGCUCUAGAAGGGAAGUAUCUGGCUCAAGAAACUUGUUAUGACUUGUUGGAUGAUGCGGAUAGCACUGUUGAGGAUGACGAACAACAAUGCCUUAAAUUCUCCUGCUCUAUACCAAAUGUUACUGGGCGAGGAUUCAUUGAGGUUGAAGAUCAUGGUCUCAGCAGUAGCUUCUUUCCAUUUAUAGUUGCAGAGCAGGAAGUAUGCUCUGAGAUUUGUAUGCUGGAAGAUGUGAUUGAGGUGUCCGAGACUGAUGAUGAUAUCCAAUCUGGACCUGAAAAAGUGGAAGCUAAGAACCAAGCCUUGGACUUUAUACAUGAAUUGGGUUGGCUCCUACAUAGAAGUCGCGUUAAGUUUAGACUGGGUCAAUUGGAUCCCAAUCUAGAUACAUUUCCCUUUAGACGGUUCAGAUUGCUCAUGGAGUUCUCCAUUGACCAUGAUUGGUGUGCUGUGGUGAAGAAACUCUUGGGCAUUCUGUUUGAUGGUACUGUCGACGCUGCAGAGCAUCCUUCCCUUGAGUCUGCACUACUGGAUAUGGGCCUCCUCCACAGAGCUGUGCGAAUCAAUAGCAGACGUAUGGUGGAAUUCUUGUUAAGAUUUGUCCCAGGUUUAACAGGAUCUGAGCAGAAGGAACAAGUUGACAGGGACGGCAACAGUUUCUUGUUUAAACCUGAUGUUGUUGGGCCCAUGGGGUUGACUCCUCUUCAUAUUGCCGCCAGUACUGAUGGCUGUGAGCAAGUAUUGGAUGCCUUAACUGAUGAUCCUGGAAAGGUGGGAAUUAAAGCAUGGAAAAACACUCGAGACAGCACAGGAUUGACACCAUAUGAUUAUGCAUGCCUUCGAAGCCGCUACUCCUAUGUCCAUAUAGUCCAGCGGAAAAUCAGCAAUACACUGGAAAGCGGGCAUGUGGUGCUUGACAUCCCUGGCCUCACGUUAGACAGAAAUGGAAAGCAGAAGCAAUCGGAUGCGCAUAAAUCAUCAAGAGUAGCCAGCUUGGAAACUGAAAGGAAUGAUAUAAAAGCAAUCUUACGACACUGCAGGUUAUGUGAACAGAAACCAGCUUAUAGCACCACACGGUCACUUGUAUACAGGCCGGCAAUGCUGUCAUUGGUGGCUGUCGCUGCUGUCUGCGUUUGCGUGGCCUUGCUCUUUAAAAGCAAUCCGGAAGUUGUUUUCGUGUUGGAGCCAUUCCGGUGGGAACACUUGAAGUUUGGUUCAAGCUAAGGUUAUAGUUUACGUGUAUUAAUUUAUAGUGACUCUGGUUAUACAUAGACCAUUUCUUUUCACGUGGAUAGGAGUAUAUUUUCUAUCUGAUUUUUAUAUGUAUAUCUAGGGCCACUCAAGCCAACAAGACUCUUCGCAUUGCAAUGGUCGGAACGUCUAUCGUAUCUGUAUUUGUAUACCUAAGCUUCCAAAAUAAACAUGGGCUGUCAUGGAUUUUGGUCCACCAGGUUUGAUUGUAUUUGUAUUUGUAUAACAGUGUUACAAACUGGAUGACACAUAAUUUCUCUGUUUGAUAUUUCUUUUUUUUUUUUCAAAAUAAACAUUUGGCACGAGGUGA